Long non-coding RNA from Nothoprocta perdicaria, 3617 nucleotides. RefSeq lists it as uncharacterized. The transcript is spliced from 3 exons. NCBI's taxonomy places the organism in Eukaryota, Metazoa, Chordata, Aves, Tinamiformes, Tinamidae. The record is from RefSeq and is a predicted model, not a curated record.
UCUCCCGGAACUGGCUUCCUUUGCCUGGCACUGCAGGGAAAUCCGUGUGCUGGGGAGUGAGCCUGACUGCUCCCACGUGGGCCCUGCGGAGGCCGACAAGAGCAGCCCCAUCCCGCCUUUCUGCACCCGCUGAAGAAGGGCAGUGCUGAUCUGGAAUAGGAACGUGGCUCACGGGGGCUUUUUGGCCAGGCAGACCGGCUGCUCCAGCCAUGCCCCACUUCUUGGAUUGGUUCGUGCCCGUGUACCUGAUGAUCUCCAUUCUCAUCCUGGUGGGCUUUGGAGCUUGCAUUUACUACUUCGAGCCGGGCCUCCAGGAAGCCCAUAAGUGGCGAACGCAGAGGCCGAUCAUGGAACGGGACCUACGGAAGACGUUGAUGAUUCGGGACAACCUUGCCUUUGGGGUGCCUGAGGUCUAAAAUGCCGCCCACGAGGGGUGAGCUCUGCACGCUGUGUCCAGAAGAGCCUCUCCUGUGUGGAUGGACAUCCACAGGUCUUGGUCAGGAUGGCAGGUCUCCCACAUGCAAGUGGGGUGGAUCAAUGMUUUGUUCUUUGCUGCUAUGUGAAUUUUACUGUUCACUUUUCUUUCCCUUCAACCCUUAAGCAAUGUCUAUGUGGCGCUGCAGACUCAGGACUUUCCACCUGUCCACAACCCUUUAUCCUGCAGGGACUCCUGCACCUCUGAUGGCUGGGACUGAUCAAUCACUAAAGCGAAAAGGUGUCUUGUUAGUCACUGUUGAGAUUGAGACAACAUGUCUUGAUAUGACCUUCACAAAGAAAGGUCUCUGCAAGGAUACUGGCCUUCUGAGAGGACACAGAGCCUUUUAUUCCUCAUUGCUGGGUUAAACCUAAUCCAGGCACCUUAAGUCAGAGAAGUGUUUUUGGUGAAAUGAAUUUGGUGGCUUUCAGCCCAGUUCCUUGCCUCGGUGGAGCUCUUCACAGCAGUCAGCCUUGGCAAUGUGCUGGUAAGCUUGCUGAAGCUCACCUCAGCUUACCCGUGCGCGGAGGGGCUGAGGACUGACAGCCCUGGAGACUGAAUGCCUUUCUUGCUGCUCGAGCUGCACUGCUUUCUUGUGUCUGUUUUGGAGCCUCAGAGUUUGGAGCUCUAACCUGGCAUUGCCAUAAGCACAACAUUCAUGUUAAGAUCAUUACUAAAGAGGGUUGUCUAAGCCCUGUGCCAAGCAGAGACAUUCUGCAGCGCUCCAUGAAGCGGUGCUGCCAGAUUGAUCUCGUAAGCCUCUCCUGGGGCACCGCGAAGCACCUGGUCUUCUGCUCCRCUCUGCUACUAAAGGAGAUGGGGCACUUUUCUACAAAUUGAUUUACACAUUUGCACUUGUUUGGUCCCCUGCACCCAAGAAUCAUCCUGAGCAAAUUCCUGGAGCCCCAGGUGCUACUCUCCCUUCACUGUCAUCCUCACUGCAAGCUGUGAAACAUCCCUCAACACCCUUUCUCUGCCUGUCUCUGAGAAGGGACAUUGAGCCAUUCAGUGAAAUGAACCUGUUGCACYGCCUGUGGUUUCCGGACCUGAGCUGUAUGAUGUGGGUCUCGCACAAAAUCCCAUGUUCAUAUUGCAGUAUUUGCACUUUCCUCACUCCCCUGGGGCUGACCCGCUACCAAAGCACUGUAAGAAGAUGUGAAGCUGGGGGUACCUGGGCCAUUGACACCUUUCCCUCCCCGCCAGUGGUGUGCAAUGCCUGGGGAGCAAAGUAAGCCUUGGGGGAGCCCUGASCCCCUGACAGGAGGCUUUACCAAGUGCCAAACCUGGUUCUCGCUGGUGCAUAUCAUGCUGCCGCGUCACUGUUGUGUGUUGUGCUCCUGCCUCCACCUCUGCAGGACACUGUAAUGAGCUGCUUGCUGGCCCAGCCAGUGUGAAGGUACAUGGUGCUGCUGUCCUGUGCCAUCUACAGAGCCCUGGUCACAGCAAUCCCUCCUCCUCUCACCCAGAAAACACUCUUUAUAUACGCAAGUUGUAUAGGUGUCUUGUACCCCAUCGCACGCACGCUGGAGGGUGUAAGCCAGCCACCACAACACCAAUGUCCAUGCGUCCAAGCGACCUACACUGCCACCUGCACAUGCUGCAUCCAUGUCCCCAGGCACCAGCUCUGUGCCACAGACCCCAAAGGCUCCUUUGUCCAGCAGGACGCUCRAUCCAGCUGUGGAAGGAGGCUUCCUCCUUCCAUCACAGCUCGUCAAAGGAGGGAUGGUGUUGCUCAGCCUCCAAGAAGAGGUGGGCAGCGUGCAAUAACUCUCCUUUGAAACUGUCGGCAGAGGCUUUCUCCUCCAUUACCGAGGGGAGGAGAGUGCACUGGACUGAUGUAGCUGAGUGAUGUUCUCCUGGUAAUUCUAUGAGGAGAAAGUUAAUUUUUAGAUCCAAGGGUUUUGACUCAGUAGGGAAUGGAUCAGGGAAUCUUGUAAAUAGCCUAGGUCUUUCUGACGCUUUCCAUCUGCCAAAUUGCCAUGGUAUCACCAUUUUCUUUCUCAGCAAAACGGCAAGACUUUUCUAGCUGUGUUUGAGCCAGGCUGAAAAUUAGAGAGUCCCUCCAUUCAGCCAAAAGCAGAGCUCUUGAUGCAAGAGGUCUUGAUGCCCUGGCCUGGGGAGUUUCAUUCCGCAGGCAAGUGAAAUGAGUGGGACGAUUCCUGUGCUGAAAGCGAGCACGGGKGCAGUUUGAAACAGGUACCUCUUGGGUGUUUUUGUUCCUCGGUGAGUCAGGCCUGUGGAAGGAAAACACCACAGGGCUGCACCGCGUGGCAUCACUCACCGUCCCCAGCUGCACCGAUCGUAUCUACAGCCCUCCAGAACAAUACAGACGUAGUCUCCAAGGGUCAGCUUGGAAACCUGCUUCCCAUCAUUGCUGGCAGCUAGGGCUGCAAUGCAACAUACUACAGCCACAAUAACGGGGUAGCAGUACAAGCUUUUGUAGUAGAGAUCAGGUAGUAGAGAGCGAGGUUGGGGACAGGCCAGGCUGUCGCUGUGCAACAAGACUGUCUGUUGAGCCAGUUUAUGGUAAGGAAAUCCCUCUCACUAAUCCAAUAAAGUGAAAGGCCCAGCACGCCGUGCCGUGUGAGUGCACCCUGCGCGAGGGUGCUCUGCAGCGAGCUGGCAGGCUGGGCUGCCACRGGCUUGCCCACGGGCUUGCCGUGGGUCUGCUGGCUCUCGCUGGCCCCUUGGCACCUCGUGCCUGCUCUGCAUGAUCUCCUGUGUGCAAUCUUGCCUGCUUUCAUCUCCUCUGCACCCAGGGUUCUGUACAGGAASCUGAACAAAAAGGAGGAAAGUAGUUCAGCCCUGUCCCGCUUGCUUUUGCCUUUUUGUUCAGUUUUCUAUGGCAAAUCCUGGGGCUUGAAUGUCUCAAUAGAGAAAUAAGGAGGGCACCCGUGCAUUUAUUUGGCACUAAGCACUUGGCAGGGCCAACUGCUGGAGAUGGUGCCAGAGGAAACAACUUUGCCAGGGCAAAGAGGAGGACUGGGAAGUGAUCUUAUGAGUAUCUAUUGCCUUUGACAUCCCCAGUCCCUCUGUGUUCAUCUGCCUGAUGCCCUGACUUCAUCCCAAGAGCUAAAGAAGAAGCAAGACCAGGUUCCAAGGUCUACUGAAUGUUUUGCAAACUAUUUAUUUAACUACUCUG